RNAcentral lists this transfer RNA (62 nucleotides) under Caliris sp. JZ-2017. Its description in RNAcentral is "tRNA-Thr". Lineage: Eukaryota; Metazoa; Arthropoda; Insecta; Mantodea; Haaniidae. The record is from RNAcentral.
UUUUAAUAGUUUAAAUAAAAUAUUGGUUUUGUAAACCAAAGAUAAUAUUAUUUUUAAAACUU